UCAAUUAUAACAAAAUUCCUCCUACUCUCUAGCAAGGGUCGCGAAUUAGGUGAUUGGUAGAUUGAAGAAGGAGAUAGCUAAGUUUCAAGUAUUAUACCAACGAGAUUAUCCUCUGAAAUCAGCAAUCAAAAGGUAUUAUUAUCUUUUCAUGUUCUAAAAGAAAUUAGGGCUAUGUGAAGAAAUUAGGGUUAUUUGUUAAUUGAUACCUGUGAUUGAAAGUUAUGUGACUACAUGAAUACCUGUUAUCUGUUAUUUAUUUUUGGUACUUGUUAUUGGUGGAUGAAGUUUUGUGAUCUAUUUUUGUCUUUGAAGAUUGAGAAUGGAGAUGAGGAUGAUGAAUCAGAGAGCUCAGACUCAGAAUCUGAUGACACAUUAGACUUAUCUAAGAUCACUGAGAUGAGGCUCGUGCCUUCAGAUCCAACUCAAUGUAUUCAUUUUUUUCAACUACAUUAGAUUUCCCUUUUCCUUUUGCUGCUAUUUACAUUUUCUGCUAGUAAUAUGUGUUCUCCUUUUUGUUUUUAGCUUUUGACAUUUUGAAUGCCAGUAGAAACGCUAUUUGAAGUAUUUUGUGAAUGUGUUGAGUUAAAC
RNAcentral lists this long non-coding RNA (588 nucleotides) under Panax ginseng (ginseng). RNAcentral's name for it is "long non-coding RNA (PGIN_LNC003686)". Lineage: Eukaryota; Viridiplantae; Streptophyta; Magnoliopsida; Apiales; Araliaceae. The record is from RNAcentral.